UGGGGAAUAUUGGACAAUGGGCGCAAGCCUGAUCCAGCCAUGCCGCGUGAGUGAUGAAGGCCCUAGGGUUGUAAAGCUCUUUCACCGGUGAAGAUAAUGACGGUAACCGGAGAAGAAGCCCCGGCUAACUUCGUGCCAGCAGCCGCGGUAAUACGAAGGGGGCUAGCGUUGUUCGGAUUUACUGGGCGUAAAGCGCACGUAGGCGGACUAUUAAGUCAGGGGUGAAAUCCCGGGGCUCAACCCCGGAACUGCCUUUGAUACUGGUAGUCUUGAGUUCGAGAGAGGUGAGUGGAAUUCCGAGUGUAGAGGUGAAAUUCGUAGAUAUUCGGAGGAACACCAGUGGCGACGGCGGCUCACUGGCUCGAUACUGACGCUGAGGUGCGAAAGCGUGGGGAGCAAACAGG
RNAcentral lists this ribosomal RNA (404 nucleotides) under Actinomycetes bacterium. RNAcentral's name for it is "Actinobacteria bacterium partial 16S ribosomal RNA". It matches the Rfam family "Bacterial small subunit ribosomal RNA", at positions 355 to 776 of the family's 1533-position model. Lineage: Bacteria; Bacillati; Actinomycetota; Actinomycetes. The record is from RNAcentral.